UAAUGAUGGGCACAACUAAAUAAUUUCAACUAUCGACUUCAUUCGAUGGUUUGAAAAAAAAAUUAUCGAAUUUCAUACGAAUAAAAUUUAGUUGCAUGGCUUUUAACUACCAAAAAAGUAUUCGAUAAUUUGUAUCGAACUAUUAGAUAGUAACAAUAUUAUGUUAAUCAUAUGCCUAAAUGCUGAUUAAUUUUUAUAAAUUAUUUCUGUUUAUCCGCCUGUCUUCGGGUGUAUUUUAUAAUUUGGCACAUAACAUACCUGGGUUAUUGGAUAUCAUAGAUAAACCAAUCGAUAGUUUUAAACUAUCGUCUAGUUCAAUAAUUUUCAUUCAGUCGAGCCCAUCACUAUUUAUACCUAACUCCGGUCUAAAUGGUCUAGUAUUUGACCAUUUAAACAUUAACUUAUUGUUCACUAAAUACUUCAGAAAAGACUAAAUGAUCUAGCUAUGAUACGUAUUCACACAAGAAUCCGUAAUUAAUGACUGACGAAAUUUUAGACGAAUUAAGUAAAACAAAGCGA
Non-coding RNA from Cinara cedri, 519 nucleotides. Lineage: Eukaryota; Metazoa; Arthropoda; Insecta; Hemiptera; Aphididae. The record is from the annotation of a GenBank genome assembly.